Molecule: ribosomal RNA, 198 nt
Filed under: Triticum aestivum (bread wheat)
Lineage: Eukaryota; Viridiplantae; Streptophyta; Magnoliopsida; Poales; Poaceae
Description: partial small subunit ribosomal RNA
Source: RNAcentral
AUGCGCAAAGGCCUGGCCUCCAUGGCCUUGCUAUCCCCUAGGAUGAUCUGGAAACACCGCAACAGUUGCGUCUUUGAGGGCGCCCUGCCUUCGGCGCAAGACCUCGUUGUGAAGAUCAAGGAAGAGGCGUCGCUCUGGGCCAAGGCGGGAGCUGCUGGCCUUCGCGACAUCAUCCCCCAGACUUGGGACGUGCACUGA